CAGCAGUGAGGAAGGUGGUAGUGUUAAUAGCACUAUCAUUUGACGUUAGCUGCAGAAGAAGCACCGGCUAACUCCGUGCCAGCAGCCGCGGUAAUACGGAGGGUGCGAGCGUUAAUCGGAAUUACUGGGCGUAAAGCGCAUGCAGGUGGUUUGUUAAGUCAGAUGUGAAAGACCCGGGGCGUCAACCUCGGAAUUGCAUUUGAAACUGGCAGACUAGAGUACUGUAGAGGGGGGUAGGAAUUUCAGGUGUAGCGGUGAAAUGCGUAGAGAUCUGAAGGAAUACCGGUGGCGAAGGCGGCCCCCUCGGACAGAUACUGACACUCAGAUGCGAAAGCGUGGGGAGCAAACAGGAUUAGAUACCCUGGUAG
This 368-nucleotide ribosomal RNA is filed under the name uncultured bacterium. Its description in RNAcentral is "bacterial SSU rRNA". It matches the Rfam family "Bacterial small subunit ribosomal RNA", at positions 434 to 793 of the family's 1533-position model. The record is from RNAcentral.